This 253-nucleotide ribosomal RNA is filed under the name uncultured bacterium. Its description in RNAcentral is "partial 16S ribosomal RNA". It matches the Rfam family "Bacterial small subunit ribosomal RNA", at positions 524 to 776 of the family's 1533-position model. The record is from RNAcentral.
UACAGAGGGGGCAAGCGUUAUUCGGAAUUAUUGGGCGUAAAGGGCGCGUAGGCGGCUUGGCAAGUGGAAGGUGAAAUCCCUCGGCUUAACCGAGGAACUGCCCUCCAAACUGCUUCGCUUGAGACCGGGAGAGGUGAGUGGAAUUCCCAGUGUAGCGGUGAAAUGCGUAGAUAUUGGGAGGAACACCAGUGGCGAAGGCGGCUCACUGGACCGGUACUGACGCUGAGCCGCGAAAGCCAGGGGAGCGAACGGG